GCUUUAAAGAGUAGCGUGGCAGUGCACUUGGGGAGCUGAGGCAGGAGGAUUCUUGAGCCCUGGAGUCCUAGGCUGCCGUGUGUUAUGUCCAUCAGGUGUCUGCACUAAAUUGAGCAUCAAUAUGGUAAAAUUCCAGGAGAGAGUGGGGGCUACCAGGUUGCCCAAGGAGGGGUAAAACAGCCAGUUGGAAAUGAAGCAUCUCAAAACAUCAGUGCUGAUCAGUAGUGAGAUUGCACCUGAGAACAGCCACUGUGCUCCAGCCUCGGCAACACAGAGAGACCCCCAUCUCU
This 290-nucleotide signal recognition particle RNA is filed under the name Cebus imitator (Panamanian white-faced capuchin). Its description in RNAcentral is "Metazoan signal recognition particle RNA (ENSCCAG00000005240.1)". It matches the Rfam family "Metazoan signal recognition particle RNA". Rfam says of the family: The signal recognition particle (SRP) is a universally conserved ribonucleoprotein. The record is from RNAcentral. Lineage: Eukaryota; Metazoa; Chordata; Mammalia; Primates; Cebidae.